Non-coding RNA from Salmo salar (Atlantic salmon), 78 nucleotides. The record is from Rfam. Lineage: Eukaryota; Metazoa; Chordata; Actinopteri; Salmoniformes; Salmonidae.
UGGCUCAGUUGGUAGAGCAUGGUGUUUGCAAUGCCAGCAUGGUGUGUGCAACACCAGGGUUGUGGGUUCGAUUCCCAC